GCUCCGAGUUGUAAUUUGUAGAAGAUGCUUUGGGUGCGGCCCCGGUCUAAGUUCCUUGGAACAGGACGUCAUAGAGGGUGAGAAUCCCGUAUGUGAUCGGUGGCUUGCGCCCGUGUAAAGCUCUUUCGACGAGUCGGGUUGUUUGGGAAUGCAGCUCUAAAUGGGUGGUAAAUUUCAUCUAAAGCUAAAUAUUGGCCAGAGACCGAUAGCGCACAAGUAGAGUGAUCGAAAGAUGAAAAGCACUUUGGAAAGAGAGUUAAACAGUACGUGAAAUUGUUGAAAGGGAAGCGCUUGCAACCAGACUUGCGCGGGGUUGAUCAUCCGGGGUUCUCCCCGGUGCACUCGGCCUCGCUCAGGCCAGCAUCGGUUUCGGUGGUUGGAUAAAGGCCUUGGGAAUGUGGCUCCUUUCGGGGAGUGUUAUAGCCCUCGGUGCAAUGCAGCCUACUGGGACCGAGGACCGCGCUUCGGCUAGGAUGCUGGCGUAAUGGUUGUAAGCGACCCGUCUUGAAACACGGACCAAGGAGUCUAACAUCUAUGCGAGUGUUUGGGUGUCAAACCCAUACGCGUAAUGAAAGUGAACGGAGGUGAGAACCCUUAAGGGUGCAUCAUCGACCGAUCCUGAUGUCUUCGGAUGGAUUUGAGUAAGAGCAUAGCUGUUGGGACCCGAAAGAUGGUGAACUAUGCCUGAAUAGGGUGAAGCCAGAGGAAACUCUGGUGGAGGCUCGCAGCGGUUCUGACGUGCA
This 743-nucleotide ribosomal RNA is filed under the name Cryptosporiopsis sp. CBS 433.75. RNAcentral describes it as "eukaryotic LSU rRNA". It matches the Rfam family "Eukaryotic large subunit ribosomal RNA", at positions 135 to 895 of the family's 3401-position model. Lineage: Eukaryota; Fungi; Ascomycota; Leotiomycetes; Helotiales; Dermateaceae. The record is from RNAcentral.